Molecule: long non-coding RNA, 2216 nt
Organism: Bos taurus (domestic cattle)
Lineage: Eukaryota; Metazoa; Chordata; Mammalia; Artiodactyla; Bovidae
Source: Ensembl
GUAAAAAUACAUAGAAAGGAGGGAUGGAAAAUAGUACAUAGAAGUGUUUCCUCCAGGUUCCUCGUUUAUUGCUUAGAUGAGGAAACUGAGGCCUGGAGAGAAGUGUGGGAGUGGGAGUAAGGGUGCAAAAUAAGAGAUGGACAAGCUUUUGGAUAGCAGCUGUAUGCCUUCACUGACUCUUCAUAACUUCAGUGUUGAGAUGGAUGAAGUCUCCUACAGACUCCGCAAGUCUCCCCAGAGAGCCCAAGAGGGUGUCUUUCUCAUAAUCCACCAUCACUAUGCUCCGACUGGGCACCCCGGCACACCUUCCUUUCCACCUGGGCUCCAAACUCGGCAGAGAGAGCAGACCCAUGUACUCACAGCCCUCACCGUGCACUCACAAAGGCUCCUGGCAGUGUUCUCCAGGCCCUUGAUCUUCAGAGAAAACUCACCUGCUGUCUGGGGCAGGGCAGUGGUGAUAAACCCUUGGCUGUCUCUCGUCCAUCACAGCUGCAGCCGGAUUUCCCUCGUGAUGUGGCUCCUUCACUGUCCACAUGUCUCCAGAACUGGGGCAGCCUCUAUCCUUGUGACUGCCCUGAUGAAGCCUGGGUUCUAUGGAAGCAGUGUUAGGGGCUGUGGGGGUCAGCGACUUCACAAUUUCUCAACAUAGGGGUCUUCUCGCCAAGUUUUCUGGAGGAAAGCCCCCAGCUUUCCACUAAAGAAUUCGUAGGAGGAGAACUCCCUGGCAGUCAAGUGGUUAGGACUCUGCACUUCUACUGAAAGGGGCAUGGGCGGGUUCAAUCCCGGUAGGGGAACUAAGAUCCUGCAUGCUGCACGCUGUAGCCAAAAAUUAAAUAAAUAAAUAAAACCCUUAAAAAACCAAUUCAUAGGAAAACUCCCCUCCAAGCCAUCCCAUCAUUUUGGUCCAUUUAAAUUCUUAACCCAGUAGUAGGUGGAGGGAUGGCCCAGCCCAGCAUCUGUGUCAUGGCAGGGACCAUCUCUAAGUAAAGCUUUGGAAUGCCCAGGCAGGACGAGUGUCUGUCCCUGCGCCAUCUAAGGAAGGACGCCUGGUUGCUGUGUCCCUGCUUUUCCUGCUUGGCCUUCAGUAUCUCAUGUGGCCCUUUACUUGGGGUCUGCACUGGAAGGAUGAGAAUUAAGAAGGGUUUUUCAGACCAAUGCCAUCACUAUUGUCAGUCAUUUAGCUAAGAGUGAUUUAGGUGCAAGUAUCCUAGCCUGGGUCCAUUGAUGGAGUUUAGACCUAGGAUCAUCUCACCUACAGCUUAUCCCUCCCCCUGUCUGGGUCUCAGUUUUCUCCCCAAGGAGGGACUGGGCUAAAUUAGCUUUUCAAAAAAUAUGGACUCAUAUUUUCGGAAGCAUCCUCAGUGAGAGAAGUCUAGGAAAUUCUGGGUUAAAUAAAGUUUGAAACUCCCUUUACUGUCUAACUCCCAGGGCUUCAAUUUUCAAUAAAAAGCAUUUAAAAAUUAAAAAGAGAGGUAUGUAAAAAGUUAUAUUUCCCAAACUGUAUAUCAUCCAACUCCCUUUGUUUUUUUGGCACAUAUCAUGGGACAAGUGUUCUGCUGAAUAUACUUCACAGCAGCAGAAGGCUAAAUUGUUUCCCAAGCCCUGCACCCAAUCUGUAGAGUUCCCUUUUUCUCCCUGUAUAAUUUUCCCUCUUGAUUAGAAAACAUACUGAAUGUUUAGCUCUAUAGGCAAUGCCAUAAAGGCUAAACAGGAACAAAAAAGAAAGAAAUAUAUUCAGAUUGUUAAAUCCAAGCUCCUCUUUGAGAUCUGUAUUUUAGAUAGCAGUAAUGAGAAUGAAUAGGGAUUUAUUAAGCAUCUAUUUAAUGUACUAGAUACUGUGCUAAAAUGCUUUGAUUGGAUUAUCUAAUUUAAUUCUCACAGGAACCUUAUGAGAUGUCUAUCAUUUUUACUCCCUAUUUUCAGAUGAGGAAAUGGUGGUUCAAAGAGGCUUGAUAAAUAGCAUAAGGCCACCCAAUUACGAAGAGGCAGUGGCAAGGCCUCAACUUACUGCAGUCUCUUUCUAAGAAUUGUAAAUAACCAACUUAUUAAGUCUCCUUAUUUUGUACCCCAAGCCAGCAAGCUGCCACAACAAACCAGAAAUAAACUAAUUGCAAUGGUAAUUACCUUCCAUCUAAAAUUCUUGAGUUAGUGUGAAAUAAUGUUGAAUCAUCAGUCUCUCAUGUAUACUGAAAACAGAUAUCUCUAACAACUAAAUG